CCUACGGGAGGCAGCAGUGAGGAAUAUUGGUCAAUGGACGAGAGUCUGAACCAGCCAAGUAGCGUGAAGGAUGACUGCCCUAUGGGUUGUAAACUUCUUUUAUAUGGGAAUAAAACGUUCCACGUGUGGGAUUUUGUAUGUACCAUAUGAAUAAGGAUCGGCUAACUCCGUGCCAGCAGCCGCGGUAAUACGGAGGAUCCGAGCGUUAUCCGGAUUUAUUGGGUUUAAAGGGAGCGUAGGUGGAUUGUUAAGUCAGUUGUGAAAGUUUGCGGCUCAACCGUAAAAUUGCAGUUGAAACUGGCAGUCUUGAGUACAGUAGAGGUGGGCGGAAUUCGUGGUGUAGCGGUGAAAUGCUUAGAUAUCACGAAGAACUCCGAUUGCGAAGGCAGUUCACUGGACUGCAACUGACACUGAGGCUCGAAAGUGUGGGUAUCAAACAGGAUUAGAGACCCGAGUAGUC
RNAcentral lists this ribosomal RNA (460 nucleotides) under uncultured bacterium. RNAcentral describes it as "partial 16S ribosomal RNA". It matches the Rfam family "Bacterial small subunit ribosomal RNA", at positions 338 to 795 of the family's 1533-position model. The record is from RNAcentral.